GACGAGGUGGCCGAGUGGUUAAGGCGAUGGACUGCUAAUCCAUUGUGCUAAGAGCGCGUGGGUUCGAAUCCCAUCCUCGUCG
This 82-nucleotide transfer RNA is filed under the name Xenopus tropicalis (tropical clawed frog). Its description in RNAcentral is "tRNA-Ser (GCT) (tRNA-Ser-GCT-36-1)". It matches the Rfam family "tRNA". Rfam says of the family: Transfer RNA (tRNA) molecules are approximately 80 nucleotides in length. Their secondary structure includes four short double-helical elements and three loops (D, anti-codon, and T loops). Further hydrogen bonds mediate the characteristic L-shaped molecular structure. tRNAs have two regions of fundamental functional importance: the anti-codon, which is responsible for specific mRNA codon recognition, and the 3' end, to which the tRNAs corresponding amino acid is attached (by aminoacyl-tRNA synthetases). tRNAs cope with the degeneracy of the genetic code in two manners: having more than one tRNA (with a specific anti-codon) for a particular amino acid; and 'wobble' base-pairing, i.e. permitting non-standard base-pairing at the 3rd anti-codon position. The record is from RNAcentral. Lineage: Eukaryota; Metazoa; Chordata; Amphibia; Anura; Pipidae.